RNAcentral lists this unclassified non-coding RNA (326 nucleotides) under soil metagenome. Its description in RNAcentral is "partial contains 5.8S ribosomal RNA, internal transcribed spacer 2, and large subunit ribosomal RNA". The stretch from base 1 to 120 matches the Rfam family "5.8S ribosomal RNA", at positions 35 to 154 of the family's 154-position model. The record is from RNAcentral.
GAUGAAGAACGUAGCGAAAUGCGAUAAGUAAUGUGAAUUGCAGAAUUCAGUGAAUCAUCGAAUCUUUGAACGCACAUUGCGCCCCUUGGUAUUCCGAGGGGCAUGCCUGUUCGAGCGUCAUAUUAACCACUCCCGCUUGCGGGGUCUUGGGCUUCGCCUCCGGGCGGGCCUUAAAAUCAGUGGCGGUGCCGUCGGGCUCUACGCGUAGUAAAUUUUCUCGCGAUAGGGUCCCGGUGGAUGCUUGCCAACAACCCCCAACUUCUUAAGGUUGACCUCGUAUCAGGUAGGGAUACCCGCUGAACUUAAGCAUAUCAAUAAGCGGAGGA